Molecule: ribosomal RNA, 1422 nt
Filed under: metagenome
Description: bacterial SSU rRNA
Rfam family: Bacterial small subunit ribosomal RNA
Source: RNAcentral
GGGUGAGUAACGCGUGGGUAAUCUACCCUUGAAUUCGGGAUAACUUCGCGAAAGCGGGGCUAAUACCGGAUAACAUCCUUUGUCCUUCGGUACAUUGGACCAAAGGUGGCCUCUACAUGUAAGCUACUGUUUGGGGAUGAGCCCGCGUACCAUUAGCUUGUUGGUGAGGUAAAAGCUCACCAAGGCUGCGAUGGUUAGCUGGUCUGAGAGGAUGAUCAGCCACACUGGAACUGACACACGGUCCAGACUCCUACGGGAGGCAGCAGUGAGGAAUUUUGCGCAAUGGGGGAAACCCUGACGCAGCAACGCCGCGUGAGUGAAGAAGGCUUUCGGGUCGUAAAGCUCUGUCAAGUGGGAAGAACCUGUUUGAUGUUAAUAUCAUCAAGCACUGACGGUACCACUGAAGGAAGCACCGGCUAACUCCGUGCCAGCAGCCGCGGUAAUACGGGGGGUGCGAGCGUUAUUCGGAUUUACUGGGCGUAAAGGGCGCGUAGGCGGUCACUUAAGUCAGAUGUGAAAGCCCGGGGCUUAACCCCGGAACUGCAUUUGAAACUAAGUGACUUGAGUAUGGGAGAGGGAAGUGGAAUUCCUGGUGUAGCGGUGAAAUGCGUAGAUAUCAGGAGGAACACCGGUGGCGAAGGCGACUUCCUGGACCAAUACUGACGCUGAGGCGCGAAGGCGUGGGGAGCAAACAGGAUUAGAUAGCCUGGUAGUCCACGCAGUAAACGGUGAACACUAGGUGUAGCGGGUAUUGACCCCUGCUGUGCCGCAGCUAACGCAUUAAGUGUUCCGCCUGGGAAGUACGAUCGCAAGAUUAAAACUCAAAGGAAUUGACGGGGGCCCGCACAAGCGGUGGAGCAUGUGGUUUAAUUCGACGCAACGCGAAGAACCUUACCUGGAUUUGACAUCCCGGGAAUUCCGUGGAAACAUGGAAGUGCCCUUCGGGGAACCCGGUGACAGGUGCUGCAUGGCUGUCGUCAGCUCGUGUCGUGAGAUGUUGGGUUAAGUCCCGCAACGAGCGCAACCCCUAUCUUUAGUUGCCAGCAUUCAGUUGGGGACUCUAGAGAUACUGCCCCGGUCAACGGGGAGGAAGGUGGGGAUGACGUCAAGUCCUCAUGGCCCUUAUGUCCAGGGCUACACACGUGCUACAAUGGGCUGUACAAAGGGUAGCGAUCUCGCGAGAGUGAGCCAAUCUCAGAAAACAGCUCCCAGUUCGGAUUGGAGUCUGCAACUCGACUCCAUGAAGUUGGAAUCGCUAGUAAUCGUGGAUCAGCAUGCCACGGUGAAUACGUUCCCGGGGCCUUGUACACACCGCCCGUCACACCAUGAGAGUUGGUUGUACCCGAAGUUGCUGGACCAACCUAUUCAGGAGGUAGGCACCUAAGGUAUGAUCGAUGAUUGGGGUGAAGUCGUAACAAGGUA